RNAcentral lists this long non-coding RNA (651 nucleotides) under Equus asinus (donkey). Its description in RNAcentral is "lncRNA (ENSEASG00005025141.1, ENSEASG00020004459.1)". Lineage: Eukaryota; Metazoa; Chordata; Mammalia; Perissodactyla; Equidae. The record is from RNAcentral.
AGGAAUGCUGGCAGCCACCAGCAGCUAGAACAGGCACAGAAUGGACACCCUACAGCCUCCAGAGAGAGCACAGCCCUGGCAACACCUUGGUUUUGGCCUUCCGGCCGCCUGAACCAUAAGAGAAUAGAUUUCUCUUGUUUUAAGCUGCCCAGUUGGUGGUAAUUUACUACAUCAGCCGGAGACAACUAACACAGACGCCUGAGGCAAGGUCCCAUUCCGUAAAUGAGGCAAGAGAGCACUGAGGAGACGGAGAGAAGGUUCCGUGCCUGGGGCCUCCUGGCCGGGAAAGCAGGGGAAUUAAAGUGGCCUCAAGCAUUGCUGCUAGACGUGAUCUCUUAGAAAGACAUCUCCAGGGGCUGGCUUGGUGGUGCAGCAGCAAAAGGGGCCAAGUGGAGAAGCUUUCUGAAACAGUCCCCAGUUUAAUGACCUACUGAACUGGACACUUCCUAGUCUCCAAAUAUCCUCUCUUCAUUCUGAGAACAUCAUGAAGCCCCAGUGCCCUCUGGAUAUGAACUCUGGCUAGGGUGCCCUAACCUAACCUUCUCUGUGUAGUUGGUGAACUCCUAUUCACCCUUCAAGACCCAGCUGAAGCAGACCCUCCUCUGUGAAUUCUGGAUUCUCCCUCUCCAUGGAGUUGGACCCAUUCUUUGU